RNA transcript from Megalobrama amblycephala (Wuchang bream), 2421 nucleotides. It is a transcript of the gene named titin-like, with no coding region annotated. The record is from RefSeq and is a predicted model, not a curated record. The transcript has 10 exons. NCBI's taxonomy places the organism in Eukaryota, Metazoa, Chordata, Actinopteri, Cypriniformes, Xenocyprididae.
GCUGCAAGUGACGUAAUUGUGACGUCUGCUCCAAAGUGGUCGCCACAGGAGGACCGUUCUGAAGUCGCGAUGCAGUGGAAGGUUAAUUAUUAAUAACUGUGUGCGUCCAUUUGAGAAAGAGAACAGAUGGAUAUCUCACAGAACAUCCAUCCAUUAAUUUCCAGAGGAAUGGAGUUCUUUAUUUUACACACGGCGAGUGUUUUACUCCUGCAUGACACACAGACAUCAAGAAUAUAAGACAAGGCAUUAAGUUCAAUCUGUGGAGUGAAGAAAGGGUGCAUUGGGUACUGCUGGAUCAGAUGGAGUGUCCGUGUCAGUGAAGGAAGGAGAUUCAAUGACUUUAUACACUGGUGUCAAAAAAACCCAACAAGAGAGAAUUAAAUGGUAUUUUAAUGACACCUGUGUAGCUCAAAUUAAUGGAGAUCCCAGUAAGAUCUGUGCAGAUAAUCAGUGUCAUGAUGAUAAUGAGAGAUUCAGAGACAGACUGAAGCUGGAUCAUCAGACUGGAUCUCUGACCAUCAUGAACAUCAGGAUCACAGACUCUGGACUCUAUAAAUCACAGAUCAGCAGUGGCAGUGAACAGCUCUUCAGUGUUUCUGCCACUGGUGUUUCUGCUGCUGAACUAGAUGACGUGAAGAGAAAGUCAGUGAAGAAGGGAGAAUCUGUCACUUUAGAUUCUGGUGUAAUAAAAAAACCAAAUGAUGUGAUGACGUGGUAUUUUAAUGACAUUUGCAUUACUGAAAUCACUGGAGGUAAUAUUUGUACAGUUGAACAGAGUGAAGAGCAAAACUCAGAACUUAAAGACAGACUGAAGCUGGAUCAUGUGACUGGAUCUCUGAGCAUCACAAACAUCAGAACCACAGACGCUGGAUUUUAUCAUCUACAGAUCAGCAACAGCGGCAGCAGCUUCAGUAUCAGCAGCAUUAGGAGCUUCAGUCUUUCUGUCAUUGGUCUUUUCGGUGUUAAGACCGAAGGAGAGUCAGUGUCAGUGAUGGAGGGAGAUUCAUUCACUCUAAACACUGAUGUUGAAAAAUCCCAACACAACACAAUUAAAUGGUAUUUUAAUGACACUCGCAUAGCUCAAAUCAAUGGGGAUCUGAAUAGGAUUUUUGCAGAUGAUCAGUAUGUUGAGAGAUUCAGAGACAGACUGAAGCUGGAUCAUCAGACUGGAUCUCUGACCAUCACAAACACCAGAACCACAGACUGUGGAGUUUAUAAACUACAGAUCAUCAACAGCAGAAUCAGUGAAAAGAUCUUCAGUGUUUCUGUCUGUGGUAUUCCUGUUAACGAGACACAUUCAAUGAAGAGAAAGUCAGUGAAGGAGGGGGAAUCUGUCACUUUAGAUCCUGGUGCAAUAAGACACCCAAAUGAUUUCAUGACGUGGUAUUUUAAUGAUUCUUGCAUCGCUGAAAUCACUGGAGAUCUCAGUAAGAUCUGUACAGAUGAACAGUGUGAACAUGCUGAUGGACAGUUCAGAAACAGACUAAAGGUGAAUCAUCAGACUGGAUCUCUGACCAUCACAAACACCAGAAACACCGACUCUGGACUUUAUAAACUGGAGAUAAACUGCAGCAGCAGCAGCAGCAUCCGUCGUCACCACACCAGCAGCAUCAGCAUCAGCAGCUUUAGGAGCUUCAGCGUUGCAGUCAUUGAAUCAGGUCAGUCUGUAGCAGCAAUAUGUGCUGGUGUUGGUGUUUUUCUGCUAGUUUCUGUAGCUGUAACUGCUGGAGUGAUUUACUGUCACAAUAACUCUACACAACCAGGACAAAAUGAGAAUGUUGAAGACUCGUCCCCGACUGAGGCUCCCAGUGUGACAAAAUAAUGUAAAUUAUUAUUAUGAUUCUUUGGACCAGAAGAGAAAAUGAGAAAGCUGAAACUCACAUCAUUCACAAAGAAAGCAAUUGGUAUUCAGUAGAUACCAAUACCAGUCAAACAAAAGGAUUGUAAACCUGUUGUAUAUAAAUGCAACAUGGACCAAAAAUCGGACGUAAUGUCACAAGAUGUGACACUAAAAAGGACAGAAUACUCAACCAUACUUGUUUUUUUCUCAUUGCUUUGUACAUUACUGUUCAGUACAGGUGUCGGAACUGUGCCUUUUUUCAGCUGACCUUUGUUUGUGCAUAACAAAGGAGUUCCUGGUGCUGUUUUGCCUCAUUUAUAAAUUUGAAACGCUCUUCAUGAUUUCUCAACUGGUAAAAACUACCAUAUAAAUGCACAUACACAAAGCACAUUUAGCUUAGCACACAUUAUAGUCUUGGAUGUUUAGUAAGAUCCGCACAAAAUAUACAUCAUAAAAGCUGAUUUGUGUGUGUGUGUGUGCAUGCGUGCGUGUGCGCACGUGUUUUUGUGACAUAUCAAGACACAAAUGUGUAUAAUGACAUGGGUAUGACAUAGGAAUUACAAGAAGAGGUGACUUAUGAG